Molecule: ribosomal RNA, 253 nt
Filed under: uncultured bacterium
Lineage: Bacteria
Description: partial 16S ribosomal RNA
Rfam family: Bacterial small subunit ribosomal RNA
Source: RNAcentral
UACAGAGGGUGCAAGCGUUAUUCGGAAUUACUGGGCGUAAAGCGCGCGUAGGUGGUUCGUUAAGUUGGAUGUGAAAUCCCCGGGCUCAACCUGGGAACUGCAUUCAAAACUGUCGAGCUAGAGUAUGGUAGAGGGUGGUGGAAUUUCCUGUGUAGCGGUGAAAUGCGUAGAUAUAGGAAGGAACACCAGUGGCGAAGGCGACCACCUGGACUGAUACUGACACUGAGGUGCGAAAGCGUGGGGAUCAAACAGG